ACAUUUUCCUGGGCAUCUGUGACCAGUAAGAACCUUCCACCCAGUGGAGCUGUUCCAGUUACUGGGAUACCACCUCACGUUGUUAAAGUACCAGCUUCACAGCCUCGCCCAGAGUCUAAGCCUGAAUCUCAGAUUCCACCGCAGCGGCCUCAGAGGGAUCAAAGAGUUCGAGAACAACGGAUAAAUAUUCCUCCCCAGAGGGGACCUAGACCAAUCCGUGAGGCUGGUGAGCAAGGUGAUGUUGAACCCCGAAGAAUCGUGCGACACCCUGACAGUCACCAACUCUUCAUUGGCAAUCUGCCUCAUGAGGUCGACAAAUCAGAGCUUAAAGAUUUCUUUCAAAAUUAUGGGAAUGUGGUGGAACUGCGCAUUAACAGCGGUGGGAAAUUACCCAAUUUUGGUUUCGUUGUGUUUGAUGAUUCUGAGCCUGUCCAAAAGGUCCUUAGCA
Myotis davidii is the source of this 448-nucleotide long non-coding RNA. RefSeq lists it as uncharacterized. NCBI's taxonomy places the organism in Eukaryota, Metazoa, Chordata, Mammalia, Chiroptera, Vespertilionidae. The record is from RefSeq and is a predicted model, not a curated record. The transcript is spliced from 4 exons.